AUUGAACGCUGGCGGCAUGCCUUACACAUGCAAGUCGAACGGCAGCACGGGUGCUUGCACCUGGUGGCGAGUGGCGAACGGGUGAGUAAUACAUCGGAACGUACCUUAUCGUGGGGGAUAACGCAGCGAAAGCUGUGCUAAUACCGCAUACGCCCUGAGGGGGAAAGCGGGGGAUCGCAAGACCUCGCGCGAUUAGAGCGGCCGAUGCCUGAUUAGCUUGUUGGUGGGGUAAAAGCCCACCAAGGCGACGAUCAGAAGCUGGUCUGAGAGGACGAUCAGCCACCCUGGGACUGAGACGCGGCCCAGACUCCUACGGGAGGAAGCAGUGGGGAAUUUUGGACAAUGGGGGCAACCCUGAUCCAGCAAUGCCGCGUGAGUGAAGAAGGCCUUCGGGUUGUAAAGCUCUUUUGUCAGGGAAGAAACACCGGCUCUAACACAGUCCGGGAAUGACGGUACCUGAAGAAUAAGCCACGGCUAACUACGUGCCAGCAGCCGCGUAA
This 500-nucleotide ribosomal RNA is filed under the name uncultured bacterium. Its description in RNAcentral is "partial 16S ribosomal RNA". It matches the Rfam family "Bacterial small subunit ribosomal RNA", at positions 29 to 522 of the family's 1533-position model. The record is from RNAcentral.